Molecule: RNA transcript, 1446 nt
Organism: Nymphalis io (European peacock)
Lineage: Eukaryota; Metazoa; Arthropoda; Insecta; Lepidoptera; Nymphalidae
Gene: Rbp1
Gene name: RNA-binding protein 1
Exons: 5
Source: RefSeq, a predicted model, not a curated record
CAAUAGGUGUAAGUCUUCUCUUUAGAAAAUUGAGACUUUAGUUCAAUUCGUACUUCAAUGUCAUUCCUUCAUUCCUGUUCAUUCAAUUCUUUCACAAAGACGUGUUUUUAGAGUGUAAGGAAAGUCUUUAUAAUUUGAGAAUACUGAUUAUUGUGCAUUUUCUUUCUAUAGAUUAAUUUGAACACAAGAUGUCUCGCUAUCGAGAAUGGGAUCUCUCUUGCAAAGUUUAUGUCGGUAACCUUGGUACAAAUGCUUCUAAAUAUGAAAUAGAGAAAGUGUUUUCAAAAUAUGGAAGUAUAAGAAAUGUGUGGGUGGCACGAAAUCCUCCUGGCUUUGCUUUUGUUGAAUUUGAAGACCCACGUGACGCCGAAGACUCCGUUCGUGGUCUAGAUGGAACACGUUGCUGUGGAACAAGAAUUCGUGUUGAAAUGUCCAAUGGUAGAACACGAAGAGAUAGACGAUACUCCAGGUCCAUUUUAUCAACCAACCACCAACACACCAACGACCUCACCACAUCUCUUCACCACAACUACGGCUUCUUUACCAAUAAGACAUCCGCGACCGUCGCUCGCAACUACAUCCCGCUCAACUUCUGCGAUCGGCUCUCCAAACUACUACGCGCAGCUGAAGCCUUCACCAACUGCGUCCCCUCUAUCCUCUUAACGGCCAUUACCUAAAUCCUGAAACUCCUAAACACCUGGACCUAAAAUAUUACUAAUGAGAGCCACAUAGUAGAAACCUUCAAUAUCCUGUGUAUCAUUGCAAAAUCCUGAUGCUUCACGUCUGCACACUUACGUCGUCACCGAGGCACCGAACUAGACACCGACUUACGGCGAUCAACUUGUCCCCGUGUCCGCAAUUCGUUAUUGAAACUCCCGGUUAAAGUCAUCAUUCGAAGAUCACAUUGAAACUUGCUCCGCCUCGGUAUUCGAACCCCCUUCGGCCUCACAGCAGACCUCACAACGCUCGACGACCAACAGGCUCACCAAGUCUCGAUCCCGCAGCCGUAGCCCACGUCGGCGCUCAUACUCGCGCGGCCGAUCCGGCUCCCCACGGCGGUCGCCAUCAGUACGACGUCGCUCCCCCUCCGUGCGACGCUCACGGUCGCGCGACCGACGCAGCCGAUCAGAUAGCAAGAGCAGGUAUAUAAGUCCAGAGAAAAGCCCCUACCGUCGCUCCACAUCACGUUCCCGGUCUCGAGAACAACGCAGCAGAUCAGACAGUAGGAACAGGUAAUUUAAGUUUGAUGUUUACUAAUGUAAUAAACAGUCAGCCAGCAUUAUCUACAUUGGGACCACAUGUCCUCUCUGCACAACUAAUUAUCAAUAACAGGUAUUAAACUGUUGUGACUUAGUAUGUUUUGGUUUUUUUUUUUAUUAUAUUCACUGUAUUUUUGUAGUAUUGUGCACCAUAAUUCAUUUAGAACAAAAUUGAUUACAUGUAUAA